CCUACGGGUGGCAGCAGUGGGGAAUAUUGGGCAAUGGACGAGCGUCUGAACCAGCCAAGUAGCGUGAAGGAUGACUGCCCUAUGGGUUGUAAACUUCUUUUAUAUGGGAAUAAAAUGUUCCACGUGUGGGAUUUUGUAUGUACCAUAUGAAUAAGGAUCGGCUAACUCCGUGCCAGCAGCCGCGGUAAUACGGAGGAUCCGAGCGUUAUCCGGAUUUAUUGGGUUUAAAGGGAGCGUAGGUGGAUUGUUAAGUCAGUUGUGAAAGUUUGCGGCUCAACCGUAAAAUUGCAGUUGAAACUGGCAGUCUUGAGUACAGUAGAGGUGGGCGGAAUUCGUGGUGUAGCGGUGAAAUGCUUAGAUAUCACGAAGAACUCCGAUUGCGAAGGCAGUUCACUGGACUGCAACUGACACUGAGGCUCGAAAGUGUGGGUAUCAAACAGGAUUAGAUACCCGUGUAGUC
This 460-nucleotide ribosomal RNA is filed under the name uncultured bacterium. RNAcentral describes it as "partial 16S ribosomal RNA". It matches the Rfam family "Bacterial small subunit ribosomal RNA", at positions 338 to 795 of the family's 1533-position model. The record is from RNAcentral.